Molecule: non-coding RNA, 436 nt
Organism: Melanotaenia boesemani (Boeseman's rainbowfish)
Lineage: Eukaryota; Metazoa; Chordata; Actinopteri; Atheriniformes; Melanotaeniidae
Source: the annotation of a RefSeq genome assembly
UGAUGCUCGUCCCACCCUGACGGUGCUGCCCCCCUCCACAGAGGAGCUGCAGCAGGGGAAGGCCACACUCAUGUGUCUGGCCAACAAGGGCUUCCCCUCAGACUGGAGUCUGUCCUGGAAGGUGGACGGCAGCAGCAGCAGCAGCUAUGAGGACAGCAGGAGCCCCGGGGUGCUGCAGAAGGACGGCCACUACAGCUGGAGCAGCACCCUGAGGCUCUCUGCAGACCAGUGGAGGAAGGUGGGCUCUGUGACCUGUGAGGCCACCCAGGGCUCCCAGACUCCACUCUCAGAGACACUGAGGAGAGACCAGUGUUCCCAGUACUGACCUGAUUUAGUGAGACGCUCAUACUGGUUUUCCCCUGUUACUUUCUAUUUUUUAAAUGAUUUUUUUCUUCUGUUUUUAAUAAAUCACUGAAGGAAUUCAUGUUUUCAAAUA